UACGGAGGCAGCAGUGGGGAAUAUUGCACAAUGGGCGCAAGCCUGAUGCAGCCAUGCCGCGUGUAUGAAGAAGGCCUUCGGGUUGUAAAGUACUUUCAGUCGUGAGGAAGGUGUUAAGGUUAAUAACCUUAGCAAUUGACGUUAGCGACAGAAGAAGCACCGGCUAACUCCGUGCCAGCAGCCGCGGUAAUACGGAGGGUGCGAGCGUUAAUCGGAAUUACUGGGCGUAAAGGGCACGCAGGCGGUUAAUUAAGUUGGAUGUGAAAUCCCCGGGCUUAACCUGGGAAUGGCAUUCAAGACUGGUUAGCUAGAGUCUUGUAGAGGGGGUAGAAUUCCAUGUGUAGCGGUGAAAUGCGUAGAGAUGUGGAGGAAUACCGGUGGCGAAGGCGGCCCCUGGACAAAGACUGACGCUCAUGUGCGAAAGCGUGGGGAGGCAAACAGGAUUAGAUACC
RNAcentral lists this ribosomal RNA (452 nucleotides) under uncultured bacterium. RNAcentral describes it as "bacterial SSU rRNA". It matches the Rfam family "Bacterial small subunit ribosomal RNA", at positions 340 to 786 of the family's 1533-position model. The record is from RNAcentral.